Molecule: small RNA, 880 nt
Filed under: Pongo abelii (Sumatran orangutan)
Lineage: Eukaryota; Metazoa; Chordata; Mammalia; Primates; Hominidae
Description: processed transcript
Source: RNAcentral
ACUGCUCGGGGACCGGCGGAGGCCAGGCCGCGGUAGGGGGGCGGGGCGGGCGCCGGAUCAAGGCGACUAGAGCUGGGUGCUGGGGCCGGACGGGGCGGCGGCGGGGAGGUGAGGGCCGCGGGCGGCGGGCGGGAGCGGGGUCUGUAGCGAGGCCGGCCGCGGGGAGCGCCCAUCGCCCCCUGGUUGGGCGAGGAGGGCCGGGAAGAGGCCACAGCUUGGGUCAAUGAGCUGAAGGAGAAAGGCAACAAAGCCCUGAGCGUGGGUAACAUCGAUGAUGCCUUACAGUGCUACUCCGAAGCCAUUAAGCUGGAUCCCCACAACCACGUGCUGUACAGCAACCGUUCUGCUGCCUAUGCCAAGAAAGGAGACUACCAGAAGGCUUACGAGGAUGGCUGCAAGACCGUCGACCUAAAGCCUGACUGGGGCAAGGGCUAUUCACGAAAAGCAGCAGCUCUAGAGUUCUUAAACCGCUUUGAAGAAGCGAAGCGAACCUAUGAGGAGGGCUUAAAACACGAGGCAAAUAACCCUCAGCUGAAAGAGGGUUUACAGAAUAUGGAGGCCAGGUUGGCAGAGAGAAAAUUCAUGAACCCUUUCAACAUGCCUAAUCUGUAUCAGAAGUUGGAGAGUGAUCCCAGGACAAGGACACUACUCAGUGAUCCUACCUACCGGGAGCUAAUAGAGCAGCUACGAAACAAGCCUUCUGACCUGGGCACGAAACUACAAGAUCCCCGGAUCAUGACCACUCUCAGCGUCCUCCUUGGGGUCGAUCUGGGCAGUAUGGAUGAGGAGGAAGAGGUUGCAACACCUCCACCACCACCCCCUCCCAAAAAGGAGACCAAGCCAGAGCCAAUGGAAGAAGAUCUUCCAGAGAAUAAGAAGC